This 543-nucleotide unclassified non-coding RNA is filed under the name Hevea brasiliensis (rubber tree). Lineage: Eukaryota; Viridiplantae; Streptophyta; Magnoliopsida; Malpighiales; Euphorbiaceae. The record is from RNAcentral.
CUUUGAAACGGACGCGUGAGAGUUACACAGAUCUUCGGUUCAUGCUUCAGGAAGAUGUCAACCGCUUAUUUUCUCAACGGAGGUGCGGUCGACCAGCGUUAAAAACUCAGGCAGGAGGCGGUGGUGCUGACGGAGAAGCCAUUCCUGUUGACUAUUCCUUGUCCUUGAGACCUUUGAAAGACAGGAGAAGAGAAAAGGAGUGCUCGUUUCAGGCCGGUUCGACGUCGGUGGGGGUCAUCGAUUAUCUUCAGAUAUUUCAUCAACGCAGUAACGGGAAAUCGAACGGAGAUUCUGAAGCCGUCGAUAAUGCUUCAUCGGGAAAUUGUAGCCCAACGAUGUGAGGUAUUAUAGGGAUUACUUUUGCAUUGACCUUUUCGACACAGCAGUCUUAGUCGAGUUUUCUUUUGACCAUUAUUUAAUUUGUAUUAAAAUUAUUAAUUAAUGAGAUAUUUUCAUUAUUUCCCUUUCUCUUGACAUUUGCCCCUGUAAACAACUCUCUUUGGAUUAGCAAAAUAAUAAAACAAUAGCUAGGUGGGGAGAAAC